CCUACGGGUGGCAGCAGUGAGGAAUAUUGCUCAAUGGACGCAAGUCUGAACCAGCAAUGCCGCGUGCAGGAAGACGGCUCUAUGAGUUGUAAACUGCUUUUGUACGAGGGUAAACGCAGAUACGCGUAUCUGUCUGAAAGUAUCGUACGAAUAAGGACCGGCUAACUACGGGCCAGCAGCCGCGGUAAUACGGAGGAUUCAAGCGUUAUCCGGUAUGAUUGGGUUUAAAGGGUGCGUAGGCGGUCGGAUAAGUUAGAGGUGAAAUCCCGAGGCUCAACGUGGGAAAUGCCUCUGAUACUGUUCGGCUAGAGAGUAGGUGCGGUAGGCGGAAUGUAUGGUGUAGCGGUGAAAUGCUUAGAGAUCAUACAGAACACCAAUUGCGAAGGCAGCUUACCAAGCUACUUCUGACGUUGAGGCACGAAAGCGUGGGGAGCAAACAGGAUUAGAUACCCGAGUAGUC
This 460-nucleotide ribosomal RNA is filed under the name uncultured bacterium. RNAcentral's name for it is "partial 16S ribosomal RNA". It matches the Rfam family "Bacterial small subunit ribosomal RNA", at positions 338 to 795 of the family's 1533-position model. The record is from RNAcentral.